CCACCAUGGCCACAGAGCAGCAGAGCAGGGUUGGAUUUCGUUAGCUGUGACCCACGUGACCAGAGCUGCCCUCUGUCCCUCAGACACAAGUAUUUUAAAAGCAAAGGGAAUGAAAAAUCUGCAACUACAUACCACUGAACACAAAUGGAAAUCACCAACAACAGGUUGAGGGAGCGAAGCUGAGCCCAGGUUUGGAGGGGCAUUGGAAGGGAAAUGACUUUCUCACUGUGCAAUGCCAGGCUUUGUUCAAGCAUUUGGGGAAACAAUGAGGAGGCAGCUUAUUCCCAGCUCCAGCAACAAGAGACCUUUCCCCUCGCUGGAGCAUGCAGCAUCAAAAGAAAAGAAGAGAGAUUUAGGAGGAGAACAAAGCAAGAUAACACUGACAAGGCUGAGAAGAAGGGCUGGCGUGGCAAUGCUCCUCCACCUGAGCCAGCAGCCCCUGGGACUCAUCCCUCUGCGUCCCUCUGAGGUUGUUGGGUGUUUUUCAAUAUUAAGAUAUGAUUCACACGCCACAUGUUCCAUACUUUUAAAGUAUAUGAUUAAAAAAAACCAAAGUGUACAAUUCAGUGGUUUUUAGUAUAUUUAUAAAGCUGUGCAAUCAUCACCACUAUUUAACCACAAAACAGUUUCAUUACCUCAGAAAGAAACCUCAUACCCAUUAGCCACCAACCCUCCCGCUCCCACUCAACUCCUCCAUACUCUGCUGCCUCCCAGGAAAUUAGAUAACCACAGAUCUACUUUCUAUCCCCCUGGGCUUACCUAUUCUGGGC
This 770-nucleotide long non-coding RNA is filed under the name Pan troglodytes (chimpanzee). RNAcentral describes it as "lncRNA (ENSPTRG00000053275.1)". Lineage: Eukaryota; Metazoa; Chordata; Mammalia; Primates; Hominidae. The record is from RNAcentral.